RNAcentral lists this ribosomal RNA (783 nucleotides) under uncultured Lachnospiraceae bacterium. Its description in RNAcentral is "bacterial SSU rRNA". It matches the Rfam family "Bacterial small subunit ribosomal RNA", at positions 28 to 776 of the family's 1533-position model. The record is from RNAcentral. Lineage: Bacteria; Bacillati; Bacillota; Clostridia; Lachnospirales; Lachnospiraceae.
GAUGAACGCUGGCGGCGUGCCUAACACAUGCAAGUCGAGCGAGGGUUUGCUCAGUAUUGAGUAUUCUAAGACUAGAAUGUUCAAUUCUGAGCAAAACCAAGCGGCGGACGGGUGAGUAACGCGUGGAUAACCUGCCUUAUACAGGGGGAUAACGGAGAGAAAUUUCCGCUAACACCGCAUAAGACCACAGCACCGCAUGGUGCAGGGGUAAAAUAUUUAUAGGUAUAGGAUGGAUCCGCGUCCGAUUAGCUAGUUGGUGAGGUAAAGGCCCACCAAGGCGACGAUCGGUAGCCGGCCUGAGAGGGUGAACGGCCACAUUGGGACUGAGAUACGGACCAGACUCCUACGGGAGGCAGCAGUGAGGAAUAUUGGACAAUGGUCGGAAGACUGAUCCAGCCAUGCCGCGUGCAGGAUGAAGGUCCUAUGGAUUGUAAACUGCUUUUGUAAGGGAAGAAUAAGGAGUACGUGUACUUUGAUGACGGUACCUUACGAAUAAGCAUCGGCUAACUCCGUGCCAGCAGCCGCGGUAAUACGGAGGAUGCGAGCGUUAUCCGGAAUCAUUGGGUUUAAAGGGUCCGUAGGCGGGCUGAUAAGUCAGAGGUGAAAGCGCUUAGCUCAACUAAGCAACUGCCUUUGAAACUGUCAGUCUUGAAUGAUUGUGAAGUAGUUGGAAUGUGUAGUGUAGCGGUGAAAUGCUUAGAUAUUACACAGAACACCGAUAGCGAAGGCAUAUUACUAACAAUUUAUUGACGCUGAUGGACGAAAGCGUGGGGAGCGAACAGG